This 253-nucleotide ribosomal RNA is filed under the name uncultured bacterium. Its description in RNAcentral is "partial 16S ribosomal RNA". It matches the Rfam family "Bacterial small subunit ribosomal RNA", at positions 524 to 776 of the family's 1533-position model. The record is from RNAcentral.
UACGUAGGGCGCGAGCGUUGUCCGGAUUUAUUGGGCGUAAAGAGCUCGUAGGCGGUCUGUCACGUCGGCUGUGAAAACCCGAGGCUCAACCUCGGGCCUGCAGUCGAUACGGGCAGACUAGAGUUCGGUAGGGGAGACUGGAAUUCCUGGUGUAGCGGUGAAAUGCGCAGAUAUCAGGAGGAACACCGGUGGCGAAGGCGGUUCUCUGGGCAUUACCUGACGCUGAGGAGCGAAAGCGUGGGGAGCGAACGGA